Molecule: transfer RNA, 72 nt
Filed under: Methanobacteriota archaeon
Lineage: Archaea; Methanobacteriati; Methanobacteriota
Description: Euryarchaeota archaeon tRNA-Pro
Rfam family: tRNA
About the family: Transfer RNA (tRNA) molecules are approximately 80 nucleotides in length.
Source: RNAcentral
GGUCGUUUGGUCUAGUGGUAUGAUUCUCGCUUUGGGUGCGAGAGGUCGAGAGUUCGAUUCUCUCAAUGACCC